This 71-nucleotide transfer RNA is filed under the name Bacteroidota bacterium. Its description in RNAcentral is "tRNA-Trp". It matches the Rfam family "tRNA". Rfam says of the family: Transfer RNA (tRNA) molecules are approximately 80 nucleotides in length. The record is from RNAcentral. RNAcentral also lists the same sequence under 1 other name. Lineage: Bacteria; Pseudomonadati; Bacteroidota.
ACGGGCAUAGUUCAAUGGUAGAAUAGCGGUCUCCAAAACCGUUGAUAUGGGUUCGAAUCCUAUUGCCCGUG